AUGGCCACAUCACAUUAAAAAACUGGUUCCCAUACAAUUACUGAAGUUAAGCAAUGUUGAGCCUGGUCAGUAUCUUCAUUAGUGACUGCUUGGGAAUACCAGGUGCUGUAAG
This is a non-coding RNA of Acanthosepion pharaonis, 112 nucleotides long. NCBI's taxonomy places the organism in Eukaryota, Metazoa, Mollusca, Cephalopoda, Sepiida, Sepiidae. The record is from the annotation of a GenBank genome assembly.